ACCGUCUUCGUUUUCUAGUGAAAUAUUCGUGAAAAUCUCUCUCAGUUUAUUAUGGAGUGAUGCGAAAAUAAUAAUUUAAGGCAUUUAUAAGCCUCUAUUUCCCGUAAAAAGUGUGGCUCGUCAAAGAUUUUCACAAUGUCAUCAAUUAAAUUUGGUGCUGUGUUUGCCAGAAGAUUCAUUGGCAAUGGGCAGUGUGUCCAGAGAAUGCCCAAUUUUGCACCUAUCUGUGCUUUUCGAUACCCCAAGAAUCAAGUGAUGGGGGAACAAAUUGUGCGAGAGUACAAGAAUUUUGGUCAUAAACCCCAGGAAACGCCACGAUUUACGAAAAUUUUCUACUUUAUCGUUGGAAUGGGGCUUUUUGCCACUACUCUCAACUACAAAGGGAUUUAUAAAAUGCUUUUCCCGAAAGUCGAUGCUGAUUCCGGCGUGGGAGGUACUACCAAGGAAGAGAGUGAGGAAAGUGACUCAGAAGUAUCGGAAAGUGACGACGAUGGGAAGAGCCCGGAGAAGAAGAAAAAGGAAAAAAUCGGCUUUCGUGAUAGAAAGAUAAUCGAGUAUGAGAAUCGUAUCAGGCAAUUUUCCACCCCGGACAAGGUUUUCCGAUACUUUGCCACUGUUCAGGUGCCCCUUGGUGGACAUGGAGAAUACGAGGUGUUUAUGACUCCAAUUGAUUUCCUAACUAGCAUGACGCCAGGAGUUAAGCAACCCGAGGGUCUCGGUCUCGAUCAAUACCGUCGAUAUGAUCCAAAGUCCGUCACGGAACGCCUUGAUCUGUCGCUGGAACAGACAUCGAUCUUCUACAAAUUGGGAUCAUACGGAUUAAUUUCCUUCUCGGACUAUAUCUUCCUUCUGACUGUGCUAUCAACUUCCAGGAGACAUUUUGAGAUUGCCUUCCAAAUGUUUGACCUCAAUGGGGAUGGGGAUGUUGAUUGCGAAGAGUUUGAAAAGGUGGCUACACUCAUAAGACAACAAACAAGCAUUGGAAAUCGCCAUAGAGAUCAUGCAAAUACCGGAAAUACCUUCAAGGGUGUUAAUUCAGCUUUAACCACGUUCUUCUUUGGGCCAAAGAUGGAUCAAAAGUUAACUAUUGAGAGAUUCUUAGAGUUCCAGAAGCAACUUCAGCGUGAGAUUCUAACGCUUGAAUUCACGAGGAAGAAACCGGAUGAGAAUGGAAAAAUUAGUGAGAUUGAAUUUGCAGAACUGAUGCUGGCUUAUGCGGGAUAUACGCAAAAGAAGAAGGCUAAGAAGAUGAAGUUGGUUAAGAAACGGUAUAAGGAUGAAGGACAGGGUAUAUCAAAGGAUGAUUACCUGGAUUUCUUCCAUUUUCUCAAUAAUAUUAAUGACGUGGAUACAGCUCUAACUUUUUACCAUAUUGCCGGAGCUGCCAUUGAUCAAUCUACGCUGAAGCACGUAGCGAGAACUGUAGCGCAUGUGGAGCUCUCUGAUCACGUCAUUGAUGUCGUCUUCACAAUCUUCGAUGAAAAUCUUGAUGGUCAACUGAGCAAUCGAGAGUUCAUUGGUGUGAUGAAGAAUCGUCUCCAGCGGGGUCUUGAGAAGCCCAAAGAUACUGGAUUCGUUAAAUUUAUGUACUCCAUACUAAAAUGCGCCAAAGAUACGAGACCUUCCUUCCUGGAGGUUUAGCUGCAACUUUUCUCGAUCCUCUCACUUCCAUUUAAUCUCUUGCUAUGCCAUUGACCUAAUAAUUGCAAAAAUUGGACUGUUUCACAUUUUCUUCUUCUCUAUAAUAAAGAAAGGCGGUUUUCACCAACGAC
Molecule: RNA transcript, 1772 nt
Organism: Lutzomyia longipalpis
Lineage: Eukaryota; Metazoa; Arthropoda; Insecta; Diptera; Psychodidae
Gene: MICU1
Gene name: calcium uptake protein 1 homolog, mitochondrial
Exons: 10
Source: RefSeq, a predicted model, not a curated record